UACGGAGGAUGCGAGCGUUAUCCGGAUUUAUUGGGUUUAAAGGGUGCGCAGGCGGCACGGCGAGCCGGCGGUCAAAUCGCGGGGCUCAACCCCGCCCAGCCGUCGGAACUGCCGGGCUAGAGUGGGCGAGAAGUGCGCGGAAUGCGUGGUGUAGCGGUGAAAUGCAUAGAUAUCACGCAGAACUCCGAUUGCGAAGGCAGCGCACCGGCGCCCUACUGACGCUCAGGCACGAAAGCGUGGGUAUCGAACAGG
This 252-nucleotide ribosomal RNA is filed under the name uncultured bacterium. RNAcentral's name for it is "partial 16S ribosomal RNA". It matches the Rfam family "Bacterial small subunit ribosomal RNA", at positions 524 to 776 of the family's 1533-position model. The record is from RNAcentral.